Melospiza melodia melodia is the source of this 1232-nucleotide long non-coding RNA. RefSeq lists it as uncharacterized. The transcript is spliced from 7 exons. Lineage: Eukaryota; Metazoa; Chordata; Aves; Passeriformes; Passerellidae. The record is from RefSeq and is a predicted model, not a curated record.
UGCAGCCGUCUCCCUCGGGCUGCUGCCGGUGCUGCGGGCGGAGGCGGCUCCGCCCGUGUUGGGCGCUGCGAGCAGGGAGCGCUGCGGUAUCGCCGGCAUGACGGGGCUGCUCCCUGCGUUAGUGCUCGUGGCUCUUUGUGCCGUGACAGCGGAUGGAGCGGCGCUGGGCGGUAAAGCCAGAGAUGGCCGGGAGAAUGCCCAGCGCAGGGAGCGGGCGGGCUGUGUGCUUCGGAUGGCACAGGGUACUCACAAAAUAUGUCUCCCUUAGAGUCCCACAGAAACGUUCUCAGUGCGAUCUCUAUCAAGUGCUCUGAGUCUUGAUAAAUUGGAGAAGAGCCCAAGAGAAAUUUUUCAUCCCUUGAUAUAAAAGGGAUAGGUGAAUUUUAACUUUGGAGUCCCCUAUGCUAAGGAUGCUCAGCUUACAGGUGAUGAAAUGUUCAGUAAUGUAUUUGCUGCAGCUCUGCUCACCCAAGCUUUGGGUUCCUUCUGUCCCACUGGGAGUUGCCCAGUUUGGUUGCAUCUGGUGAAAUUCACCCUGAGACCUUACAGAACCAGCUCCAACUACGUGAGAGCCAUUUGCAGUUCUCUCCAGACGCCUGGAGAAUGGGCGACGUUUCUGAGGAUCCGGCGAGCGUGCUUCUGUCAAAACUCAGUCUGUGAAAUUCCUGGGGAAAACCCUUCUGUGUCCUGAAGGGUUCAAACUCUGGUGAGGAUCCAGUUAUCAGGUGCUCACCUGGAUGGUUCCAGCUCCCAAAGGGAAAGACUCUCGUGUCCUUGUCGUCGGGCUCGGUGCUGUCCAAGAAGAUACAGGGACUAAAAAAAUCAUAAGAAGCAAAAUAUGACUGCAGGGAAAAGAAGCUGGAGAGAACAGAAGGCUGCCAUUUGUGUGCCAUCGGUACUCACCACGGAAGGGAGCUGGGGAUUGUUGCAGCUGUUGGGAACAAACCGCUUCUCGUCACACAGAAAUGGAAUUGGGACGACGCCUUGGCCAGCCCCUCUCUGCUAUCGUCUCCUGAAUCUGCAGCAGAGCAGUUCCAGUCCAUCCGGGCACGUGUAAUGCAGUUCCUGAUGAUCUGAGCACACGGAGCAGCGCUCAGCUGCUGUGGGGGUCUCAGGGAAGGCAGAGUGUGCAUUGUCAUCUUCCUGAACCUACAGACGAAUCAAAGUGAGAAGCCACAGCGUGGAAAUCAGUCGCAUAUAUGCUAAAUAAAACUUGCAGAUUUUUUUAAGAA